UAAGUCACUUUGUCUUUAUGGCAAAUGUGAGAUGCAGUGUAUGGAACGUCUAUAAUCUAGUAUGAGAAAUUAACGAUUUAAGUCCUUCUUAAAUGAGGCCAUUUACCCAUAGAGGGUGCCAGGCCCGUAUAACGUUAAUGAUUAUUAGAAGAUGUUUCCAAAGAGUCGUGUUGCUUGAUAGUGCAGCACUAAGUGGGUGGUAAACUCCAUCUAAAACUAAAUAUAACCAUGAGACCGAUAGUAAACAAGUACCGUGAGGGAAAGUUGAAAAGAACUCUGAAUAGAGAGUUAAAUAGUACGUGAAACUGCUUAGAGGUUAAGCCCGAUGAACCUGAAUAUCCAUUAUGGAAAAUUCAUCAUUAUGCCUAUUAUAUUAAUAAUAUAGUAGAAAUAGUGUGCAUUUUUUCUAUAUAAGGACAUUGUAAUCUAUUAACAUAAUAUAUAUUUAUCAAAAGAUUAUUUGCAAAUGUUUAUUCAAAUUAAUUUGCUUGCGAGUUAACAUAAAAUAAAUGCUUAUAAUUUGAUAAAGUGUUGAUAGAUUUAUUAUAUAUGGUGCUUAAAUUCCUUGUGAAUUUUACAAUGGCAUAAUUAUCUUAUGAUUUUAAUGUUUAUUGUAUGCAUUUAUAUGAUUAACAAUGCGAUAGAUUCAGGAUACCUUCGGGACCCGUCUUGAAACACGGACCAAGGAGUCUAACAUAUGUGCAAGUUAUUGGGAUUAUUUAUAUAAACCCAAAGGCGUAAUUAACUUAACUUGUUAUAAUGGGAUUAGUUUUUAGUCUAUUUAUAGUCUAUUAAUUCAAUCCCGGGGCGUUCUAUAUAGUUAUGUAUAAUAAUAUUUAUAUUAUUUAUUCCUCUAACUAGAGCGUACCUUAAGCAAAUAUGCUGUGACCCGAAAGAUGGUGAACUAUACUUGAUCAGGUUGAAGUCAGGGGAAACCCUGAUGGAAGACCGAAACAGUUCUGACGUGCAAAUCGANNNNNNNGAUAGAAUAAUGUAGGUAAGGGAAGUCGGCAAAUUAGAUCCGUAACUUCGGGAUAAGGAUUGGCUCUGAAGAUUGAGAUAGUCGGGCUUGAUUGGGAAGCAAUAACAUGGUUUACGUACUCGUUCUGAGUAAAUAGAGAUUUUCGGAUCUUGUUCCUCGGAUAGCAAAUGCGUAGCCAAUUGUGGAACUUUCUUGCUAAAAUUUUUAAGGAAUUUAUCGUUAGAUAUGUUCUUUUUUAAUUAUAACGAUUAUCAAUUAACAAUCAAUUCAGAACUGGCACGGACUUGGGGAAUCCGACUGUCUAAUUAAAACAAAGCAUUGUGAUGGCCCUAACGGGUGUUGACACAAUGUGAUUUCUGCCCAGUGCUCUGAAUGUCAAAGUGAAGAAAUUCAAGUAAGCGCGGGUAAACGGCGGGAGUAACUAUGACUCUCUUAAGGUAGCCAAAUGCCUCGUCAUCUAAUUAGUGACGCGCAUGAAUGGAUUAACGAGAUUCCUACUGUCCCUACCUACUAUCUAGCGAACCACAGCCAAGGGAACGGGCUUGGAAUAAUUAGCGGGGAAAGAAGACCCUGUUGAGCUUGACUCUAGUCUGGCAGUGUAAGGAGACAUAAGAGGUGUAGCAUAAGUGGGAGAUAAUUAAUUUCGGUUUUUUAUCGACAAUGAAAUACCACUACUCUUAUUGUUUCCUUACUUACUUGAUUAAAUGGAACGUGUAUCAUUGCUUAGCCAUAAUACGGAUAUAUUUAUAUAUCUUAUGGUAUUGGGUCUUGAUGCAAGCUUCUUGAUCAAAGUAUCACGAGUUUGUUAUAUAAUUGUAAACAAAUAUUUAAUCAAAUGAUAGCAUUUCGGUGUUAUUGUUAUAGUUAAAAUUUGGUAUGACUCCAACACUCAGAUAUGAUCCAAUUCAAGGACAUUUCCAGGUAGGGAGUUUGACUGGGGCGGUACAUCUCUCAAAUAAUAACGGAGGUGUCCCAAGGCCAGCUCAGUGCGGACAGAAACCACACAUAGAGCAAAA
This 1998-nucleotide ribosomal RNA is filed under the name Helcomyza ustulata. RNAcentral's name for it is "eukaryotic LSU rRNA". It matches the Rfam family "Eukaryotic large subunit ribosomal RNA", at positions 115 to 2706 of the family's 3401-position model. Lineage: Eukaryota; Metazoa; Arthropoda; Insecta; Diptera; Helcomyzidae. The record is from RNAcentral.